Molecule: ribosomal RNA, 482 nt
Filed under: uncultured bacterium
Lineage: Bacteria
Description: partial 16S ribosomal RNA
Rfam family: Bacterial small subunit ribosomal RNA
Source: RNAcentral
AUUGAACGCUGGCGGCAUGCUUUACACAUGCAAGUCGAACGGUAACAGGUCUUCGGAUGCUGACGAGUGGCGGACGGGUGAGUAAUACAUCGGAACGUGCCUAGUAGCGGGGGAUAACUACUCGAAAGAGUAGCUAAUACCGCAUGAGAUCUACGGAUGAAAGCAGGGGACCUUCGGGCCUUGUGCUACUAGAGCGGCUGAUGGCAGAUUAGGUAGUUGGUGGGGUAAAGGCUUACCAAGCCUGCGAUCUGUAGCUGGUCUGAGAGGACGACCAGCCACACUGGGACUGAGACACGGCCCAGACUCCUACGGGAGGCAGCAGUGGGGAAUUUUGGACAAUGGGCGAAAGCCUGAUCCAGCAAUGCCGCGUGCAGGAUGAAGGCCCUCGGGUUGUAAACUGCUUUUGUACGGAACGAAAAGCCUGGGGCUAAUAUCCCCGGGUCAUGACGGUACCGGAAGAAUAAGCACCGGCUAACUACGUG